Molecule: unclassified non-coding RNA, 342 nt
Organism: Pan paniscus (pygmy chimpanzee)
Lineage: Eukaryota; Metazoa; Chordata; Mammalia; Primates; Hominidae
Gene: 7SK
Rfam family: 7SK RNA
About the family: 7SK was discovered as an abundant small nuclear RNA in the mid-70s but a possible function has only recently been suggested. Two independent studies have found that 7SK RNA binds the CDK9/cyclin T complex (known as elongation factor P-TEFb). P-TEFb activates transcription by phosphorylating the C-terminal domain of RNA polymerase II.
Source: Ensembl
GGAUGUGAGGGCAAUCUGGCUGCUACAUCUGUCACCCCGUUGAUCACCAGGGUUGAUUCAGCUGAUCUGGCUGGCUACGCAAGUGACCUCUUCCUCCCUCACUGCUCCAUGUGUGUUCCUCCCGAAACUGCAUGCUGGGUUGAAGAAGAUGACCAUCCCCAAUAGAGGAGGACCAGUCUUCAGUCAAGGGUACACUAGAAGCUGCGCUUCCCUGGCAGAACCUCCAAACAAGCUCUCAAGAACUCCCAUAACUCAAUAGCAAAGGAAAAUAACCAAUUUGCAAAGUGGUCAAGGGAUGUAAAUAGACAUUUAAGCGUGUUUAUUUUUAUUUUUAUUUUCCAU